Molecule: non-coding RNA, 277 nt
Organism: Paramuricea clavata
Lineage: Eukaryota; Metazoa; Cnidaria; Anthozoa; Malacalcyonacea; Plexauridae
Source: the annotation of a GenBank genome assembly
GAAAUAUGUUAAAAUUAAAAGAUAUGUAAAAUUCAUACCUGCAGAAAUGACAAAAUGGGUCAGUUCACUGCAGAGCAGCGAACUUUUAUGGUGUUACAUUACAACCGUACCCAAAGUUUAGUAGCAGUACAGAAUGCAUUUCGACAAAGAUUUCCUAGUCGGAAACCUCCGAGUAAAAACACUAUCCUACAAAACGUUAGGAAGUAUUUUGAGCACGGAACAAGCCUGAACCGUAACAAAAAUAAUUCUGGCCGACCAAGAACCGCGCGUUCCCAAC